Molecule: unclassified non-coding RNA, 343 nt
Filed under: soil metagenome
Description: partial contains 5.8S ribosomal RNA, internal transcribed spacer 2, and large subunit ribosomal RNA
Rfam family: 5.8S ribosomal RNA (bases 1-120)
Source: RNAcentral
GAUGAAGAACGCAGCGAAACGCGAUAAGUAAUGUGAAUUGCAGGAUCCAGUGAAUCAUCGAAUCUUUGAACGCACAUUGCGCCCGCCAGCAUUCUGGCGGGCAUGCCUGUUCGAGCGUCAUUUCAACCCUCGACCUCCCCUUGGGGAGGUCGGCGUUGGGGACCGGCAGCACACCGCCGGCCCUGAAAUGGAGUGGCGGCCCGUCCGCGGCGACCUCUGCGCAGUAAUACAGCUCGCACCGGGACCCCGACGCGGCCACGCCGUAAAACACCCAACUUCUGAACGUUGACCUCGAAUCAGGUAGGACUACCCGCUGAACUUAAGCAUAUCAAUAAGCGGAGGA